CUACGGAGGGUGCAAGCGUUAAUCGGAAUUACUGGGCGUAAAGCGUACGUAGGCGGUUCGUUAAGUUAGAUGUGAAAGCCCCGGGCUUAACCUGGGAACUGCAUUUAAAACUGGCGAACUAGAGUUGAGUAGAGGGGAGUGGAAUUUCAGGUGUAGCGGUGAAAUGCGUAGAGAUCUGAAGGAACACCAGUGGCGAAGGCGACUCCCUGGACUCGAACUGACGCUGAGGUACGAAAGCGUGGGUAGCAAACGGGAGUAGAUACCCUAGUAGUCC
Molecule: ribosomal RNA, 274 nt
Filed under: uncultured bacterium
Lineage: Bacteria
Description: partial 16S ribosomal RNA
Rfam family: Bacterial small subunit ribosomal RNA
Source: RNAcentral